This 421-nucleotide ribosomal RNA is filed under the name uncultured bacterium. Its description in RNAcentral is "bacterial SSU rRNA". It matches the Rfam family "Bacterial small subunit ribosomal RNA", at positions 355 to 774 of the family's 1533-position model. The record is from RNAcentral.
UAAGGAAUAUUGGUCAAUGGACGCAAGUCUGAACCAGCCAUGCCGCGUGAAGGAUGAAGGUCCUCUGGAUUGUAAACUUCUUUUAUCUGGGACGAAAACGGGAUUUUUAUCUCAAUUGACGGUACCAGAGGAAUAAGCACCGGCUAACUCCGUGCCAGCAGCCGCGGUAAUACGGAGGGUGCGAGCGUUAUCCGGAUUUACUGGGUUUAAAGGGUGAGUAGGUGGGCUUAUAAGUCAGUGGUGAAAUCUCCGAGCUUACCUUGGAAACUGCCGUUGAUACUAUAGGUCUUGAAUUAUCUGGAGGUAAGCGGAAUAUGUCAUGUAGCGGUGAAAUGCUUAGAUAUGACAUAGAACACCAAUUGCGAAGGCAGCUUACUACAUAUAAAUUGACGCUGAGGCACGAAAGCGUGGGGAUCAAACA